This 461-nucleotide ribosomal RNA is filed under the name uncultured bacterium. RNAcentral describes it as "partial 16S ribosomal RNA". It matches the Rfam family "Bacterial small subunit ribosomal RNA", at positions 338 to 795 of the family's 1533-position model. The record is from RNAcentral.
CCUACGGGUGGCAGCAGUGAGGAAUAUUGGUCAAUGGGCGCGAGCCUGAACCAGCAAAGUCGCGUGAGGGAUGACGGUCCUACGGAUUGUAAACCUCUUUUGCCGGGGAGCAAGCGUGCGUUCGUGAACGCGCGUCGAGAGUACCCGGAGAAAAAGCAUCGGCUAACUCCGUGCCAGCAGCCGCGGGAAUACGGAGGAUGCGAGCGUUAUCCGGAUUUAAUGGGUGGAAAGGGGGCGCAGAGGGGGAGGCAGGAGAGGAGUGAAAGCCCGGGGCCCAACCCCGGGACUGCUCUUGGAACUGGGUGGCUGGAGUGCAGGAGGGGCAGGCGGAAUUCCUGGUGUAGCGGUGAAAUGCGUAGAUAUCAGGAGGAACACCGGUGGCGAAGGCGGCCUGCUGGACUGCAACUGACGUUGAGGCCCGAAAGCGUGGGGAGCAAACAGGAUUAGAUACCCGAGUAGUC